UACGUAGGGUGCAAGCGUUAAUCGGAAUUACUGGGCGUAAAGCGUGCGCAGGCGGUUAUGCAAGACAGAUGUGAAAUCCCCGGGCUCAACCUGGGAACUGCAUCCGAUACUGGAUGGCUUGAAUCCGGGAGAGGGAUGCAGAAUUCCAGGUGUAGCGGUGAAAUGCGUAGAUAUCUGGAGGAAUACCGGUGGCGAAGGCGGCAUCCUGGACCGGCAUUGACGCUGAGGAGCGAAAGCUAGGGGAGCAAACGGG
Molecule: ribosomal RNA, 253 nt
Filed under: uncultured bacterium
Lineage: Bacteria
Description: partial 16S ribosomal RNA
Rfam family: Bacterial small subunit ribosomal RNA
Source: RNAcentral